AUUGAACGCUGGCGGCAUGCUUUACACAUGCAAGUCGAACGGCAGCACAGGGAGCUUGCUCCUGGGUGGCGAGUGGCGAACGGGUGAGUAAUGUAUCGGAACGUGCCUGGUAGUGGGGGAUAACUACUCGAAAGAGUGGCUAAUACCGCAUGAGAUCUUUGGAUGAAAGCGGGGGACCUUCGGGCCUCGUGCUACUGGAGCGGCCGAUAUCAGAUUAGGUUGUUGGUGGGGUAAAGGCCUACCAAGCCUGCGAUCUGUAGCUGGUCUGAGAGGACGACCAGCCACACUGGGACUGAGACACGGCCCAGACUCCUACGGGAGGCAGCAGUGGGGAAUUUUGGACGAUGGGCGCAAGCCUGAUCCAGCAAUGCCGCGUGCAGGACGAAGGCCUUCGGGUUGUAAACUGCUUUUGUACAGAACGAAAAGUCUCUGGCUAAUAUCUAGAGAUCAUGACGGUACUGUAAGAAUAAGCACCGGCUAACUACGUG
This 488-nucleotide ribosomal RNA is filed under the name uncultured bacterium. RNAcentral describes it as "partial 16S ribosomal RNA". It matches the Rfam family "Bacterial small subunit ribosomal RNA", at positions 30 to 507 of the family's 1533-position model. The record is from RNAcentral.